This is a ribosomal RNA of Cercocebus atys (sooty mangabey), 99 nucleotides long. Lineage: Eukaryota; Metazoa; Chordata; Mammalia; Primates; Cercopithecidae. The record is from Ensembl.
AUCUAUGGCCAUACCACCCUGAUCCCAGACUCUAAGAAGGGUUGAGCCUGGCAAGAACAUGGAUAAGAGUCCUCCUGGGAAAACCGGGUGCUGUAGGGU